UUUUGAGCGUUCGGUGGAUGCCUUGGCAUCAGGGGCCGAUGAAGGACGUGGUGGCCUGCGAUAUUCCUCGGGGAGCCGGCUGGCGGGCUGUGAUCCGAGGGUUUCCGAAUGGGGGGACCCGGCACGAGUUAUGUCGUGUCACCUGCAUCUGAAUUGUAUAGGGUGUGGGGGGUGACGCGGGGAAGUGAAACAUCUCAGUACCCGUAGGAGAAGAUAUUCCGUGAGUAGUGGCGAGCGAAAGCGGAUGAUGGUUAAACCGUGUGCGUGUGAUACUCGGCAGGGGUUGCGUGUGCGGGGUUGUGGGGCUGUCCUGUUCCUCUUCUGCCGGAGAGGGGGCGCGUGUGCUGGCCGGUAGCUGAAUCGUCUGGGAAGGCGUGGCGUAGUGGGUGAUACCCCCGUAGGCGGAACUGGUUGGUGCGUGUCUGGGAUGGUGUUGCCCGAGUAGCACGGGGCUCGUGGAAUCCUGUGUGAAUCUGCCAAGACCACUUGGCUGCCUGAAUACCUCCUGAUGACCGAUAGUGGAUAGUACCGUGAGGGAAUGGUGAAAAGUACCCCGGGAGGGGAGUGAAAUAGUACCUGAAACCGGGCGCUUACAAGCCGUCAGAGCCUCCUUAUGCUUUUUGUGUGUGGGGGUGGUGGCGUGCCUUUUGAAGAAUGAGCCUGCGAGUCAGUGGCGUGUCGCGAGGUUAACCCGUGUGGGGUAGCCGUAGCGAGAGCGAGUCCGAAUAGGGCGAGUGUAGUGGCGCGUUCUGGACCCGAAGCGGGGUGAUCUACCCAUGGCCAGGUUGAAGCACGUGUAAGAGCGUGUGGAGGACCGAACCCACCUAGGUUGAAAACUGGGGGGAUGAGCUGUGGGUAGGGGUGAAAGGCCAAUCAAACUCCGUGAUAGCUGGUUCUCCCCGAAAUGCAUUUAGGUGCAGCGUCGCGUGUUGCCCGGCGGAGGUAGAGCUACUGGGUGGCUGAUGGGCCCCACAGGGUUACUGACGUCAACCAAACUCCGAAUGCCGUUCGGGUUGUAGCGUGGCAGUGAGACUGCGGGGGAUAAGCUCCGUGGUCGAGAGGGAAACAGCCCAGAUCGCCGGCUAAGGCCCCUAAGCGUGUGCUAAGUGGGAAAGGAUGUGCGGUCGCGCAGACAACCAGGAGGUUGGCUUAGAAGCAGCCAUCCUUGAAAGAGUGCGUAAUAGCUCACUGGUCAAGUGAUCGUGCGCCGACAAUGUAGCGGGGCUCAAGCACACCGCCGAAGCCGCGGACCCAUGGCAGUGUUCCUUUCGCCGUCCGGCUUGCCCGGGUGGUGGCAGGGGUUGUGGGUGGUAGGGGAGCGUCCUGCACCGGGGGAAGCCUGUGGGUGACUGCUGGUGGACGGUGCGGGAGUGAGAAUGCAGGCAUGAGUAGCGAUACUAGGGUGAGAAGCCCUAGCGCCGAAUGACCAAGGGUUCCAGGGCCAGGCUAGUCCGCCCUGGGUGAGUCGGGACCUAAGGCGAGGCCGACAGGCGUAGUCGAUGGAUGACGGGUUGAUAUUCCCGUACCGGCGAAGCACCGCCCAUGCUGACGCGCGGGUGCUAACCCACGCCCGGCCGCCAUAGUGGCCGCGCCUACUCCUUUCGGGGGGUGGUGUGGUUGUGGUGGUGGGGUCUGGGGACCCUCCGUGCAGGUAGGCAAGCGUGUUAACAGGGGUGACGCACAGUGGUAGCCCGGCGGACCUGAUGGCUUGGUCCGUUCAAGCGCGCAGCCCGUCCUCCAGGUAAAUCCGGAGUGGCUGUCUUUGAUGACGGGGGUGAGGCGUGAUGGUGACCCCACGCUGGUGGGGGAUAACAGGGUGAUCCUGGGGUGCCGAGAAAAAGCCUCGACGCGAUGGUGCCAGCCGCCCGUACCCUAAACCGACACAGGUGGUCGGGCAGAGUAUGCCUAGGCGCACGAGUGAAUCAUGGUUAAGGAACUCGGCAAAAUGCCCCCGUAACUUCGGGAGAAGGGGGGCCCGAUCCCUGAAAGCACUUUUGGCGGGCUAGGGGGAGGGUCGCAGAGGCCAGGGGAAGCGACUGUUUACUAAAAAAACACAGGUCCGUGCGAAGCCGUAAGGCGAUGUAUACGGACUGACGCCUGCCCGGUGCUGGAAGGUUAAGAGGAACCAUCAACCCCUCGGGGUGAAGUGGUGAAUUUAAGCCCCAGUAAACGGCGGUGGUAACUAUAACCAUCCUAAGGUAGCGAAAUUCCUUGUCGGGUAAGUUCCGACCUGCACGAAUGGCGUAACGACUUCCCCGCUGUCUCAACCAUGAGCUCGGCGAAAUUGCAGUACGAGUAAAGAUGCUCGUUUCGCGCAGAAGGACGGAAAGACCCCGGGACCUUUACUACAGCUUGGUAUUGGCGCCCGCUAUAGCUUGUGCAGGAUAGGGUGGGAGACUGUGAAGCCGCCACGCCAGUGGUGGUGGAGUCGUCCUUGAAAUACCACUCUGGUUAUGGCGUGCGCCUGAACCUGGGCCCGUGAUCCGGGUUAGGGACAGUGCCUGGUGGGUAGUUUAACUGGGGCGGUUGCCUCCUAAAGUGUAACGGAGGCGCUCAAAGGUUCCCUCAGCCUGGUCGGCAACCAGGUGUUGAGUGCAAGUGCACAAGGGAGCUUGACUGUGAGACCGACGGGUCGAGCAGGUACGAAAAGUAGGAACUAGUGAUCCGGCGAUCCCGUGUGGGUGGGUCGUCGCUCAACGGAUAAAAAGGUACCCCGGGGAUAACAGGCUGAUCCUGCCCAAGAGUCCAUAUCGACGGCAUGGUUUGGCACCUCGAUGUCGGCUCGUCGCAUCCUGGGGCUGGAGCAGGUCCCAAGGGUUGGGCUGUUCGCCCAUUAAAGCGGUACGCGAGCUGGGUUUAGAACGUCGUGAGACAGUUCGGUCCCCUAUCCUCUGCGCGCGCAGGAGACUUGAGAAGGCCUGUCCCUAGUACGAGAGGACCGGGACGGACGAACCUCUGGUGUGCCAGUUGUCCCGCCCGGGGCACGGCUGGUUGGCUACGUUCGGGAAGGGUAACCGCUGAAAGCAUCUAAGCGGGAAACCAUCUUCAAGAUAAGGUCUCCGCAGGAAGGACUUGUCCUUCCUGGUAGGCCCCCAGCAGACUACUGGGUUGAUAGGCCAGGAGUGGAAGACCGGCAACGGUUGACUGAGCUGACUGGUACUAAUAGGCCA
This 3170-nucleotide ribosomal RNA is filed under the name Actinomyces oris. Its description in RNAcentral is "Bacterial large subunit ribosomal RNA". It matches the Rfam family "Bacterial large subunit ribosomal RNA". Lineage: Bacteria; Bacillati; Actinomycetota; Actinomycetes; Actinomycetales; Actinomycetaceae. The record is from RNAcentral.